GACGAACGCUGGCGGCGUGCUUAACACAUGCAAGUCGAACGGAAAGGCCCUGCUUUUGUGGGGUGCUCGAGUGGCGAACGGGUGAGUAACACGUGAGUAACCUGCCCUUGACUUUGGGAUAACUUCAGGAAACUGGGGCUAAUACCGGAUAGGAGCUCCUGCUGCAUGGUGGGGGUUGGAAAUUUUCGGCGUUUGGGGAUGGACUCGCGGCUUAUCAGCUUGUUGGUGGGGUAGUGGCUUACCAAGGCUUUGACGGGUAGCCGGCCUGAGAGGGUGACCGGCCACAUUGGGACUGGGAUACGGCCCAGACUCCUACGGGAGGCAGCAGUGGGGAAUAUUGCACAAUGGGCGGAAGCCUGAUGCAGCAACGCCGCGUGCGGGAUGACGGCCUUCGGGUUGUAAACCGCUUUCGCCUGUGACGAAGCGUGAGUGACGGUAAUGGGUAAAGAAGCACCGGCUAACUACGUG
Molecule: ribosomal RNA, 468 nt
Filed under: uncultured bacterium
Lineage: Bacteria
Description: partial 16S ribosomal RNA
Rfam family: Bacterial small subunit ribosomal RNA
Source: RNAcentral